This 3280-nucleotide long non-coding RNA is filed under the name Strigops habroptila (Kakapo). Its description in RNAcentral is "lncRNA (ENSSHBG00005010047.1)". The record is from RNAcentral. Lineage: Eukaryota; Metazoa; Chordata; Aves; Psittaciformes; Psittacidae.
UUUAAUGAUGCUUUUAUUUUACAGGAUACAAAUUUCUUUUUAAGUACUCAACAGGAAUUAAAGUGCUUAAUUUUUACAAUUCUCCACCCACCUUAUGACCAAAUAUACAUAUAUUACAGAAAAUAUAUACAGUAUCUGCAAAGUUUUUACAUUCAUAUAUUUCUUGACCAUAAAAAUUACCACUUACAUUUGCACAACUUACAACGGCAUUUAUAUUUCACCUUUUUAAUACUCUUCACUUUAUUGCAAAACCAGAACAAAUAUACACCUCUUCCGAACAUUAGGGGUUUUCUUUUAAAAAGUGUUUUUGCAAUUCAAACCAGAAAUGUUUCCAUAAUGAAGGGGAAUUAAUGUGUAGCCUGUAAUUCUGAUGUCAAACAUUUCAACCGAUCCACUAAAAUUAACAUAUUAAUCUACUUUGAGGGCUGCAGAAUAGAAAACAUGCUAAUAGAAAAAACCCAAACCAAUGCCUCUAUUGCAAACUGUUCCCUAUAUGCAAUAAAUUUGGCUUCUUUCUUAAAAAUACAAGGGCACACAUACAUGCAAAAAUGCUUUGACAUAGUUCCCCCUUUCCUGAAUGUUUCCACCAUGAGUAUUUAAUGAAUCUACAAGGAUGAACUAUAAACAAAUUAGGUUGGUGUUACGCCAUGGCUGAAAACAUAUUUUAUUCAAGGAAAUCUGCUUGAAGAUUUUAGAAGAGGAAAACCACAUUCUACAUUCAUUUAUGCUAGGAAGAGGAAGGAGUGAAAGUAAAAUGCCAUAGUUGAGUCUGGGAAGAAAUUUAAUCACAAGGUUUUAAAGGAGGCAGAUUGAGUGCCUUGCUGAAUUUAGAGUGUUUGGGGUUUUGUUGUUGUUGGGUUUCUGGGUGGAUAUUUUUGUUUUGUUUUUUAAUUAGGCCAAAAUAGUAAACAUGCCACAAAAGUAGAUCUACUUUGUCGAUAUUUUUCUUCUGAAAAGCAUACUCAACACAGUCAAUAUACAUUAUAUUUUGAAUGCAGCACAGUGUGCUUUUUGAUUGGAAAAUACUGCUUGAAAACAGGUCAUCUGAAUAAUAGUCUCAAAUAUAUAAAUACACAUAUAUACAUAUACACACACAUACAUAUGUGUAUAUAGACACAUAUAUACAAUCAUUAAGUUAAUGUUAUGUUCUGUUAAGGGAACAGGAUUUUAGGAAACAAUCUGACUGGCAGAUUUAAACUACCCAAGGAGCAUACUUCACUACAGACCCAUGGGGCAGAACCAGCUAGGUAAGUUCCUCAUACCAAUAGGGCCACAGACUGGAGAAAAAAAUGUAACUCCAUAUAUUUCAUUUCAGAUUUCAAACAACAGUACACCACAGACUAAGAAUACCCAUUUCACCACUGGAUUUAUGUUAAGGAUAGUCAAUUCUACUACAAAAUUAUUUUUCUUCUCCAAUCAUUUAUUUUUGGAUAUAUACUUCCAGUUGUUUACAUUCACUCCUACAUCAAUUAUCUCCAAAUGAAACCCAGCUGAGCACUGUGAUUCCAGAUGAGACACAGUAAGUCAGCAGCUCUCAAACUGGUAAAAGCUUGAUUUUCCACAAGUGUUUCUAUAUAAUGAAUUUAAAUCACUGAAGGUAUAAUAGCUCCAGCAGGAGCUAUGCUAGUUUACACCUGCUGAAAAGAUUUAUGUAGAAAGCUCCUUUUUGUUGCUUCGAAUUAUUUCGACAUGGAAUGUAUAUUUCUUUCCUGAAAGAGUUCCCCUCAAUGUAAAGAACCACUACCCUCUGUUCAUUUUAUUUAAUUUUAUCUUGAAAUGAAAAGCUGACCAGUUUUUAUACUAGUUGUGGUGAUGUAGGUUUAAAAAAAACCCUCAGCAAACAAGAAACCAACAAACUCCGAAGAACCUGCCAAGUAUUCCAUAUCUUUACCACUUAUUUUAUAUAUAUAGAUAUAAUUAUUUUUUUUUUUUCCUCCUGACUCCACUUGCAAUUCUUUGGAGCAUACUUCUAUAACCUCAUCUAAAAUUACUCAGGUGGUAGUGAAAUGAUUCCACAUUUACUCAGUGCCUUGGCUUCAUCCACAAUUCAAAAAUAUGAAGAAUAAAAAUCUCUUUUCUAUGAAAGGGAUUUAGAAUCUUUGAGGAGAUUUAUAAAGCACUUUGAGAUGGUUUUGCAUAAAAAGAUGCCACUAUACAUUGUAUGCAUGUAAAGUUGUUUAAUAUUCUACUCCAAAUAAAAGACAACGUUUUGUAUUCCCAUAUCUAUUUUGCAUAUUAAAAUUAAAUACAUGUUAGAAUAAACAAAACUACCAGUGCAAAGGGAUUUGAACGGACUAGAUGCUAUAGAUUUUGCAGUAGCUCUUCAACCAAGCAGUGUACCUGAUACUUGAAAAGAAUUUUUAGAGGAUCUGGAAGAAUGGUGAUAACAUGCAGAUGUCAUGAUACACUAUUUUUUCAUCUCAGGGGAAAAAUAUUAAGUAAUUUUGAAAACUACAUUAACAUCUUCCAAACAUAUUAAUGAUAAAAUUGAGCCAUUGUUCUAGUCGAACACAGAUAAACCCACACAAAAUAAUUGUUGAUCUGCUUUAAAUUGCACAAAAGUCUGAUCACUUUUAAAGUGAGAAACAAGAAUUUCUUGAACGUAAGAAUUACAAAGCUUAAAUAAUGCAGAAAAGCCAUUCACAUACAUUCAUGUAUUAUGAAUAAAUGCUCAGUUAUAGUUUAUUUCUUACACACACAGCUUUAUGCUAAUAAAUUUAAUGCCUUAAAAGAAAAAAAUAAAAAAAAAACCCCAACCCGUCUGAAGUGGAGACAGCCUAUACCUUGCUAGAAUGGUAGUUUUAAUUUGACUGCUCUUGUCACGAUAAUUAAACCACAGCAGUUACUACUUUGAAUUUGUUCCUCUGAGGUCAUAAUUUACAAUUUAAAGAGUUUUGGAUGCUGUAGGGGGGCUUGUCUGUGGAGAAUGGAGUAAAACAGUUAGGGUGGUUAAAUCUAGAAGCAACAUCUUCAUCUUUUAUACUUUAAUACUGUGGGUAUAUACUUUCCCUACAAAAUACACACAGAAUCAUACAUUUGAGUGCCAAGACAUUCUGAAUCGGAAGAGAACAAUUCUGACCAAGCAACUGACUAUAUGAACAUGAAAUAGGUUUCACUAGGAUAAAUAAAAUAUCUCACACUAUCUAAACUUAAAAGGCUGAGAGUAAACAUGAGGCUAACAUCCAAAUAAAUAACUCUCAAUGCUAUGUUCAUUUCAAAUUGUUUAUACCCAAAUGCAGGGCUUUGUCUGUGAGAUGCUGAAACCAUUCAAGCAGCUUCA